UACGAAGGGGGCUAGCGUUGUUCGGAAUCACUGGGCGUAAAGCGUACGUAGGCGGAUGAAUAAGUCAGGGGUGACAGCCUGGAGCUCAACUCCAGAACUGCCUUUGAUACUGUUUGUCUUGAGUCCGGGAGAGGUGAGUGGAACUGCUAGUGUAGGGGUGAAAUUCGUAGAUAUUAGCAAGAACACCAGUGGCGAAGGCGGCUCACUGGCCCGGUACUGACGCUGAGGUACGAAAGCGUGGGGAGCAAACAGG
Molecule: ribosomal RNA, 253 nt
Filed under: uncultured bacterium
Lineage: Bacteria
Description: partial 16S ribosomal RNA
Rfam family: Bacterial small subunit ribosomal RNA
Source: RNAcentral